UACGGAAGGCAGCAGGGGGAAUAUUGCACAAUGGGCGCAAGCCUGAUGCAGCCAUGCCGCGUGUAUGAAAAAGGCCUUCGGGUCGUAAAGUACUUUCAGUCGUGAGGAAGGUGUUAAGGUUAAUAACCUUAGCAAUUGACGUUAGCGACAGAAGAAGCACCGGCUAACUCCGUGCCAGCAGCCGCGGUAAUACGGAGGGUGCGAGCGUUAAUCGGAAUUACUGGGCGUAAAGGGCACGCAGGCGGUUAAUUAAGUUGGAUGUGAAAUCCCCGGGCUUAACCUGGGAAUGGCAUUCAAGACUGGUUAGCUAGAGUCUUGUAGAGGGGGUUAGAAUUCCAUGUGUAGCGGUGAAAUGCGUAGAGAUGUGGAGGAAUACCGGUGGCGAAGGCGGCCCCUGGACAAAGACUGACGCUCAUGUGCGAAAGCGUGGGGAGCAAACAGGGA
Molecule: ribosomal RNA, 444 nt
Filed under: uncultured bacterium
Lineage: Bacteria
Description: bacterial SSU rRNA
Rfam family: Bacterial small subunit ribosomal RNA
Source: RNAcentral